Molecule: ribosomal RNA, 433 nt
Filed under: uncultured bacterium
Lineage: Bacteria
Description: partial 16S ribosomal RNA
Rfam family: Bacterial small subunit ribosomal RNA
Source: RNAcentral
AACGAACGCUGGCGGCAGGCCUAACAUAUGCAAGUCGAGCGAGGACUUCGGUUCUAGCGGCGGACGGGUGAGUAACGCGUGGGAAUGUGCCCUUCUCUACGGAAUAGCCCUGGGAAACUGGGAGUAAUACCGUAUACGCCCUUUUGGGGAAAGAUUUAUCGGAGAAGGAUCAGCCCGCGUUGGAUUAGGUAGUUGGUGGGGUAAUGGCCUACCAAGCCGACGAUCCAUAGCUGGUUUGAGAGGAUGAUCAGCCACACUGGGACUGAGACACGGCCCAGACUCCUACGGGAGGCAGCAGUGGGGAAUCUUAGACAAUGGGGGCAACCCUGAUCUAGCCAUGCCGCGUGAGUGAUGAAGGCCUUAGGGUUGUAAAGCUCUUUCAGCUGGGAAGAUAAUGACGGUACCAGCAGAAGAAGCCCCGGCUAACUCCGUG